RNAcentral lists this ribosomal RNA (1767 nucleotides) under human gut metagenome. Its description in RNAcentral is "bacterial LSU rRNA". It matches the Rfam family "Bacterial large subunit ribosomal RNA", at positions 816 to 2665 of the family's 2925-position model. The record is from RNAcentral.
UAGCGGAGAAAUUCCAAUCGAACCCGGAGAUAGCUGGUUCUCUCCGAAAUAGCUUUAGGGCUAGCCUCGACUGAACAUUACCGGAGGUAAAGCACUGAAUGGGCUAGGGGCCGAGAGGUUACUGAACCCUAUCAAACUAAGAAUGCCGGAUAAUGAUAGUCGGGAGUCAGACAGUGUGAGAUAAGUUUCAUUGUCGAAAGGGAAACAGCCCAGACCCACAGCUAAGGUCCCAAAGUAUCGUUAAGUGGAAAAGGAUGUGGAACUGCCCAGACAACCAGGAUGUUGGCUCAGAAGCAGCCAUACAUUCAAAGAGUGCGUAAUAGCUCACUGGUCGAGUGGUUCUGCGCCGAAAAUUUAACGGGGCUAAACGAUACACCGAAGCUUGGGAUGCAGCAUUGGCUGCAUGGUAGGAGAGCGUUCUGUACGGGGUGAAGUCAUAGCGGAAGCGGUGGUGGACUGUACAGAAGAGAGAAUGCCGGAAUGAGUAGCGAGAUUUAUGUGAGAAUCAUAAAGGCCGAAAGACUAAGGAUUUAGAAGGAAGGUUCGUCCGCUUCUAGUUAGCCGGGAGCUAAGGCGAGGCCGAGAGGCGUAGUCGAUGCACAUACGGUGGAGAUUCCGUAGCCGCCUCUUAAUUUAAGCAAAGGGACACUUUCAAAGGGAAUGACCCGGGCGUUGGUAGCCCCGGGCGAAAGGGACCGAAAUUAGAGUAGGGAAGCAUUUCUGGAGGAAGGCGAGAAAAGCUUUGCGGAUAGAGAGAGGCGCCCGUACCGCAAACCGACACAGGUAGUCAGGAAGAGGAUUCUAAGGCCAACGGGAGAAGGGUAGUUAAGGAACUCGGCAAAUUGACCCCGUAACUUCGGAAUAAGGGGUGCUCCUGAAAAGGAGCCGCAGUGAAUAGGCCCAGGCGACUGUUUAUCAAAAACACAGGUCUCUGCCAAAUCGAAAGAUGAAGUAUAGGGGCUGACACCUGCCCGGUGCUGGAAGGUUAAGAGGAGAUGUGCAAGCAUUGAAUUGAAGCCCCAGUAAACGGCGGCCGUAACUAUAACGGUCCUAAGGUAGCGAAAUUCCUUGUCGGGUAAGUUCCGACCCGCACGAAUGGUGUAACGAUCUGGGCACUGUCUCAACUACCCACCCGGCGAAAUUGUAGUACCGGUGAAGAUGCCGGUUACCCGCGGCAAGACGGAAAGACCCCAUGGAGCUUUACUGUAGCCUGAUAUUGGGUUUCGGUAUUCUAUGUACAGGAUAGGCGGGAGACUGGGAACCGAUGGCGUCAGCUGUCGGGGAGUCACCCUUGGGAUACCGCUCUUAGAGUACUGGAAUUCUAACCUGCGGCCGUGAAUCCGGCCGGGGGACAUUGUCAGGUGGGCAGUUUGACUGGGGCGGUCGCCUCCAAAAAGGUAACGGAGGCGCUCAAAGGUUCGUUCAGCACGGACGGAAAUCGUGCAGUGAGUGUAAACGCAUAAACGAGCCUAACUGCGAGACCGACGGGUCGAGCAGUAACGAAAGUUGGAGUUAGUGAUCCGGCGGUAUGUGAGUGGAAAUGCCGUCGCUCAACGGAUAAAAGCUACCCUGGGGAUAACAGGCUGAUCUCCCCCAAGAGUCCACAUCGACGGGGAGGUUUGGCACCUCGAUGUCGGCUCAUCGCAUCCUGGGGCUGUAUUCGGUCCCAAGGGUUUGGCUGUUCGCCAAUUAAAGCGGUACGCGAGCUGGGUUCAGAACGUCGUGAGACAGUUCGGUCCCUAUCUGUCGUGGGCGCAGGAUAUUUGA